RNAcentral lists this ribosomal RNA (679 nucleotides) under Mortierella sp. FSU 2188. RNAcentral's name for it is "eukaryotic LSU rRNA". It matches the Rfam family "Eukaryotic large subunit ribosomal RNA", at positions 97 to 631 of the family's 3401-position model. Lineage: Eukaryota; Fungi; Mortierellomycota; Mortierellomycetes; Mortierellales; Mortierellaceae. The record is from RNAcentral.
AGCGGGAUGAGCUCAAAUUUAAAAUCUGGCUGGUUUACUAGUCCGAAUUGUAGUUUAUAGAAGCGUUUUCGGUGGCAGCCUGGGUAUAAAUCCUUUGGAAUAGGGUAUCAUAGAGGGUGAGAAUCCCGUCUUUGACUCAGUGCAUGCUACUAUGUGAUACGUUUUCAAAGAGUCGAGUUGUUUGGGAAUGCAGCUCAAAAUGGGUGGUAAAUUUCAUCUAAGGCUAAAUAUUGGCGAGAGACCGAUAGCGAACAAGUACCGUGAGGGAAAGAUGAAAAGAACUUUGAAAAGAGAGUUAAACAGUGCGUGAAAUUGUUGAAAGGGAAACGUUUGACACCAGUUAUGCGGGUGGAAAAUCAGUUUUUUGCAGUGGGGAGUUGUGGGCGUUCAGACCGCAAGGCUGGCGUUUGCUUCAUCUUUGCUGUAAGUGAUGCACUUUUUCAUUUGCAGGUCAACAUCAGUUUGCUUUGCUGGACAAAACCCCAAGGGAAGGUGGCAGCUUAGGCUGUGUUAUAGCCCUGGGGCGAUACAGUGGAGUGGACUGAGGUUUUCGCAGUGUGUGCUCUCGGGCAAGGCUGACUGGGUGCUAUGGGAUCGUUCGGUGUACAAUGCAUGCAUUUUGCGCCGUGUCUUUUUCAUACUCGCUCAACUCGGCUCUUCCACACUUAGGAUGUUGACU